AGUCUGGUGCCAGCACCCGCGGUAAUUCCAGCUCCAAGAGCGUAUAUUAAUACUGCUGUAGUUAAAACGCCCGUAGGAUACCUAAGAGUGGGCAUGUAGUAAUUAGUUUUGUCAGAGGAUGAUUGACGAGAGUUUAUCACUCUUGUUCGUCUACCUUUGAUAGACUUUAGUCGGGCUGGAUCUUCGGUCCACGUCUGACAGAUGCUGCGUGUUUACUUACCACGGUUUAUCCGUGAGGCCCUUGGCUUGCAACUGUAAAUAAAUCGUUGUGCUUAAAGCGGGCUAUGAUACUCUGCCAGAGCGAUUUAGCAUGGGACUGCAGAGUAGCUGUAUUUGAGUGAAGGUUGUAUUUCGGUAUGACUGGAUCUUGGUACAGCGCUUGUAAUGGAGCUCAGGGUGAGGCCCCGGGUACCAUGAGGCUAGAGGUGAAAUUCUGAGACCCUCAUGUGACCAACUAAGGCGAAAGCUGUCGUGGGCCACCACAAGCUCGUCUAUCAGGGACGAAAGUUGGGGGAUCGAAGACGAUUAGAUACCGUCGUAGUCCCAACUAUAAACGAUACCAACCGAGUAUUUGGGAAGACACUAUCCCAGCGAUCUUCUCAGAACUCAAGGGAAACCUUAAGUCUUUGGGUUCUGGGGGGAGUAUAGUCGCAAGACCGAAACUUAAAGGAAUUGACGGAAAGGCACCACCAGGAGUGGAGUCUGCGGCUUAAUUCGACUCAACACGGGGAAACUCACCAGGUCAGGACACAAGUUUGAUUGACAGGUUAAUAGCCCUUUCUUGAUUGUGUGGUGGGUAGUGCAUGGCCGUUUCCAGUUCGUGGAGUGAUCUGUCUUGUUAAUUCAGAUAACGAACGAGACCUAAGCCUUUAACUAGCCGUAGGCCUUUUCCUUCGGGGAAAGGUUUAGUUUGUCGGGACAGGUUCUGCCUGUUCCUAAACCUACGAGACUUUUGUCAGCUUCUUAAAGGGACUUCAUUCGUAAACUAGGAUGAGGAAGAUUUAGGCCAUAACAGGUCUGUGAUGCUCUUAGAUGUCCUGGGCUGCACGCGUACUACAAUAACGGUACCAGCGAGCGCUAUGGUUUUAUAACCCCUUAUCCUAAUAGGAUUGGGAAAACUUUUCAAACACCGUUAUGACAGGGAUCGAGGAUUGGAACAUCCUCGUGAACGAGGAAUUCCUAGUAAGCGUGGUUCAUCAUACCACAUUGAUUACGUCCCUGCCUUUUGUACACACCGCCCGUCGCUCCUACCGAUGGGACGAAGAGAUGAACCUGGCGGACCGAACCGCAAGGUAAGGGAAACCAGUUAAAUCUCUUCGUCUGUAGGAAGGAAAAGUCGUAA
Molecule: ribosomal RNA, 1342 nt
Filed under: metagenome
Description: SSU rRNA
Rfam family: Eukaryotic small subunit ribosomal RNA
Source: RNAcentral